UUAUAUAUUUAUGAUACAGAAAAUGAGGUAACAAAUAGAAUGAAUGUUAUCAGGUGUGUACUUAUUUUAUUUAUGCUUUAUGUAAGAUUAAUUAUAACUGUAGUAAUUAAACACUAUUAUCAACAUAUUACUAUUCACUUUGUAGUAGCGGUGAAAGCAACAAUCAAAUCCAUGCUCAAAUUGUCACCGAACUGAAGGAAAUGCUUGAUAAACAUAAUGUUCUUGCAAAGAGUUUUCGUAUGGUUAGAGAUAGAUUUCAAGCUGAACAAAGUACAAAUGUUAAACUAAGACUUAUCGGAAGAAGAGGAUCAGAUGGAAGAGGAUAUAACUUGCCAUCAGUUUCAGAGGUAGCAGCUUUGGUUGUUGGCGAUUUUGAACCAACAAAUACUGACAGAGAUAUAAUAAUCGAAAGUCAAAAUGGACAACUUCAGAGAAUAAAUGAGCUUAAUGCAGCAUAUUUAGGUUUGCAAUAUCCAUUACUACUACCUUAUGGGGAAGAUGGUUAUAGAGAAGAUAUUCCUUUAAAUAGAAUUGAUGAAUCAAGUAAGGGAAGAAAACGUGUUAGUUCUUGCGAAUAUUUUGCAUAUAAAAUUCAAGAAAGGAAGAAUGAAGUACCUACAAUUGUUUCAGCUAAAAGAUUAUUUCAACAAUUCUUGGUUGAUGGAUAUACAAUGAUUGAAUCUUCUCGCUUAUUGUUUUAUAGACUAAAUCAAAGAAAUUUGAGAACACAUUUAUAUAAAGGAUUACAAGAAGCAGUUUUGCAUGGAGACACAGAACCAUCUUCUCAAGGACAAAGAAUUAUAUUGUCUUCUACUUUCACUGGUGGAACACGUUAAAUGUUGCAAAAUUAUCAAGAUGCAAUGGCAAUAUGUAAAUGGGCUGGAUAUCCUGAUUUAUUCAUUACAUUUACAUGCAAUCCCAAAUGGCCUGAAAUUAAGAGAUUUGUGCAUAGUAGGGGAUUGCAUCCAGAAGAUCGCCCAGACAUUAUAACAAGAGUCUUUAAAAUCAAAUUGGAUCAUUUGAUAAAAGAUUUAAGAGACAAUAAAGUUUUUGGAGAAGUAAAAGCGGGUAUGAACUUUAUUUUGCUUUAUUUUAUUAUAUUACAUUUUCAAGUUAAUAUAAUUUGUUUUAUUUAAAUAAAAUCAUAAAUUACAAAUAAUAUUUUGUUUUCUCUUCAUAUAGUGAUUUACACUAUUGAAUUUCAAAAGCGUGGAUUGCCUCAUGCACAUAUCUUACUUUUUCUCCAUGAUAAAUUUCCAAAUGUUGGAGACAUUGAUGCGAUUAUUUCAGCUGAAUUGCCUGAUAAAUUACUUGAUCCGGAUUAUUAUGUGGUUGUUACAAACUUCAUGAUGCAUGGGCCAUGUGGUUCAAUAAGGAAAUCAUCCCCUUGCAUGCAAAAAGGCAAAUGUACAAAGCACUUUCCAAAAAGAUUUUUACCAUCUACCUCACUUGAUGAAGAAGGAUAUCCUUUAUAUCGAAGAAGAGAUGAUGGUAGAUCUACACAGAGAUCAGGUAUUGAUUUAGAUAAUCGAUAUGUUGUACCACAUAAUAAUUUUUUGCUAAUGAAAUAUGGGGCACAUAUUAAUGUUGAAUGGUGCAAUCAAUCAAGAUCGAUUAAAUACUUAUUUAAGUAUGUUAAUAAAGGUCAUGAUCGAGUCACAGUAGCUUUUUGCGAUAGUGUUAAUUCUUCAGAUUCAAAGGUUGUUGAUGAAAUAAAAAUGUAUUGUGAUUGUCGCUAUAUAUCAUCCUGUGAAGCAGCUUGGAGAAUUUUCAAAUUCCCAAUCAACCAUAGAGAACCUUUUGUAGAAAGGUUAUCUUUUCAUCUACCAGACAAUCAAAAUGUCAUAUUUUCAGAUGAUGAUCCAAUUGAUGUUGUUAUCAAUAAACCAACAGUGAAGGAAUCAAUGUUUUUAAGAUGGUUGGAAGCUAAUAAGGAAUUUCCUGAAGCAAGACAUCUAACGUAUGCAGAAUUUCCUUUAAAGUUUGUUUGGAAGCAACAAUCUAAGAGAUGGGAAAAAAGGAAAACUUCAGCAUUUUCUAUUGGAAGAAUUUUCUUUGUUCCACCAGGAUCAGGUGAGCAAUAUUACCUUAGAUUGCUAUUGAAUGUUGUUAAAGGUCCAACUUCUUAUGAGGAAAUCAGAAGAAUAAAUGAUAUUUAUCAUGAGACCUUUAGAGAUGCAUGUUAUGCUCUAGGAUUAUUAGAUGAUGACAAAGAAUAUGUUGAUGCUAUAGUAGAAGCAAGUCAAUGGGGAAUGCCAUCAUAUCUACGACAAUUAUUUGCUAUGCUACUUAUAUCUAAUUCAAUGUCACGUCCGGAGAUAGUGUGGCAAUCAACUUGGCACUUACUAUCAGAAGAUAUCGUUUUUGAAGAAAGAAGAAUAUUAGAUAACCCAGGUAUUUAAUAAUGUUUACACUUGACACUAAUCAUAUAUAAUCUUUUUUUUUUCUUUUUCUUAUUAUUUAUUAUUAUUUUACUUUUAAAAUUUUUUAAUAAUUAGUAAAUUAGAAUUAGAUUAUUUUAUUAAAUUAGUAUAUGUUUAUAUGUUUUUUCAGAAGUUUAUCUAUCUGAAGCAGAUUUGAAGAAUCGUUGCUUGCAAAAGAUUGAAACCUUUUUAAAAGGUUGUGGAAGGAGUUUUCAAGAUUUUUCAACAAUGCCAUUACCUGUCUAUAAUGAGGAUGAGGUCGAUUAUAGCAACAGAUUAAUUCGAGAUGAAAUGCGUUACAAUAAAGGUGCUUUAACUGAUGAACAUCAAGAAUUGCUACAAAAUUUAACUGAUGAACAUAAAGCAGUUUACAAAAAGAUUAUGUCAGCAGUUAUUACAAAUAGUGGUGGAUUUUUCUUUUUAUACGGCUUUGGAGGUACAGGAAAAACUUUUAUUUGGAGGACAUUAUCAGCAGCUAUACGAUCUAAAGGAGAUAUUGUUUUGACAGUAGCUUCUAGCGGGAUUGCAUCUCUAUUGUUGCCUGGUGGUAGAACAUCACAUUCAAGAUUUGUUAUCCCUUUGAAUAUAAAUGAAGAUUCAACAUGUAAUAUAAAGCAAGGUACUCCUUUAGCAAAUUUGAUAGUCAAGGCAAAGUUGAUUAUUUGGGAUGAGGCUCCUAUGAUGCAUAAAUAUUGUUUUGAAGCUUUGGAUAAAACUUUAAGAGAUAUUAUUAGCUAUAAAGAUGCAUCUAAGGCAGAAUUACCAUUUGGAGGAAAAACAGUUGUUCUUGGAGGUGACUUUAGACAAAUUUUACCCGUUAUUCCAAAAGGUACUAGACAAGAUAUUGUUAAUGCAAUUGUAAAUUCAUCAUAUUUAUGGCCACAAUGUCAACUAUUGACUCUAACAAAGAAUGUGAGGUUACAAAGCAAUGCAAACGAUACACAUUUGGAAGAAUUGAGAGAUUUUUCUAAUUGGAUAUUGAAAGUUGGGGAUGGUAGCAUUGGAAGUUCAAUUGAUGGAAUAGACAAAGUUUUAAUACCUAAUGAUCUUCUAAUAAAUGAGUAUAUUGAUCCUAUAGCAUCUAUUGUUGAAAGUAUUUAUCCAGAUUUCAUCACUAAUUGCAAUGAUCCAGAGUACCUUCAACAAAGAGCCAUUCUUGCUCCAACUCUUGAUAUGGUUGAAUCGAUAAAUCAGUAUAUGAUUACUCUUAAUCAUAAUCCUGAGAAAUCAUAUUUAAGUUCUGAUAAAAUUUGCAGGUCUGAUCAUACUUAUUCAGCUUUGGAACAUGUACAUACCCCUGAAUUUUUGAACAAUAUUAAAUGUUCUGGCGUUCCAAAUCAUUCAAUCACUUUAAAGGUUGGGGUUCCAGUGAUGUUACUAAGAAAUAUCGAUCAGUCAGCGGGAUUAUGUAAUGGAACUAGAUUGAUUGUUACUAAACUUGGAAAUCAAGUAAUUGAAGCAAAGGUUUUAUCUGGACAGAUGGUUGGCCGGAAGGUAUUUAUUCCAAGAAUGACUUUAACACCUUCAGAUUAUAGAAUUCCUUUUAAGUUUCAAAGAAGACAGUUUCCUAUAACUGUAUCAUUUGCUAUGACAAUCAAUAAGAGUCAAGGACAGUCUUUAUCUCAUGUGGGCUUAUUUCUGAAGAAGCCAGUGUUUACGCAUGGACAUUUAUAUGUUGCUCUUUCCAAAGUGACAAAUAGAAAGGGAUUAAAAAUACUUACUUACGAUGAAGAUGGGCAAAUAAGUAAUGAAGCCACAAAUGUAGUAUAUAAAGAAGUACUCCAAGACUUAUUUGACAUACAUUGUAUUUUUUAACUUUUAUAUAUAUACUACAAUUUUUGUUGUGUAUGUUACAAUAACUUUUAUAUUAACUGUUAUAUAUGUUUUAGGUUUCAUUAAUAAUGUAAUUUAACUUAGUAAGUUAACAUUAAGUAGGUACACAUUAAUAAAAAAAGACAAAGAAAGUCCAAAUUACUUUGAAAUAUGCAAUAGUCGAUAUGUACUAACCUUAAUUAGCUAAUUAUAAUCACUGCUAUUUUCCAUCGAUACACUAGCAGAAAAAAAAUCUUCCCAUUAUCAACUUCUCCGCCAUCUACAAUACACUUAUUAAAAAGCAAAUAUGAAAAUAUAUUAGGCAAUUUUUUUCAGUUAGAAUGCAUUAAGACAGAAAUUGUAUUAUGAAACAUUGCUCAAAAUAGUUGUAUAUAUAUAAAUUAUCAUAAACUACACAAAUCUAUAUAUUAAUACUACUAUUAAACAUUAAUAAUAAAUACAACUUCAUAGUUAUCAGAUAGUUUUAAAUACGAGUACAGAUAGAUUAUAAGACUUCACACAUUUACAAUCUUUACUAUUUUUUUAACUUUACUCAUUUAUCUAAAAAGUAAAAGUCACAAGUUCCUAUAUUUUAAGGUCAUUUUAAACAAAUUAUGAUUUGGAAACCAAGAAAAUGAUAACUUUUUCUUAUAAUAUAUAAUAAACUGUGUCUUGAAAAUUCACAUUAAAAAUUUUCAAGUACAAUUUACUCCGGCUUGCUUGGAAAACUGUAACUCAGAUUAUAUAUACAAAAUCUCUGAAUCACCAAACAAGAUACCAAAAUCUUUAUCAACAUAAGCUUAUUAUAGCUUUGCAAUAACAUGCAUUUACUACUUUAUAAUUUAAAUUAAAGUUAAACUAUUAGCCGUAUCUGACCAUCCCAAAUAGAUAUGAAGGAGACAUAACCUGAUAAAUCUCAUUAAAAUUAAUCCAAAACAAGAACUACUUCAUGCUAAUAUAUUCUUCAAUUGAAGUUUUCAUUAUGAAGGAUCAAUAUAAAAAAAUGUCAAAAAUUUAACUCACCAUUUCACAGUACAUUGAAUUUUUGUCGGAACGAUACUAGAUCUGAAAACAACUCCUAUCAAAUGUUUUAUGCAAUAUAUAUUAAUCUUAACCUGCUUGAAGAAAGUCAUUUUUAUGCUAUGUUAUCAUUUGCAUGUUCAAAUGUUGAAAUUCUAAAAUUAACUUUACCAUAUAUUUGCAGAAGACAUUCAUAGUAGAAAAGACAAUAGAAGAUUUACUAAAGAGAUGAAAGAAAUAGCACUCACAACAUUGACAAAUCACUCAGAAACUUAGCGAAGAUCCACACUCGGAAGAGGUACCUCACCUUUCAAAUCUGGAAAAUUUUGUUCAUAUUUUGGUCUCUUUCCAGAGAGAUCCAUUUUGUUUGUUUUUUACGUUUUUCCCUUUUUACUUUCCAAUUACUUUUGGAUUUUGGUGGGUUGUCCAAAAGUCUAUUUGAUUUUACUUUUUUCCAAUUCACUUAGAUUGACCAUAUUUUAAUAAAACUAAUAAAUACAUAUACA
Molecule: long non-coding RNA, 5761 nt
Filed under: Solanum tuberosum (potato)
Lineage: Eukaryota; Viridiplantae; Streptophyta; Magnoliopsida; Solanales; Solanaceae
Description: long non-coding RNA (STUB_LNC001661)
Source: RNAcentral